This is a non-coding RNA of Pelodiscus sinensis (Chinese soft-shelled turtle), 551 nucleotides long. The record is from RefSeq and is a predicted model, not a curated record. Lineage: Eukaryota; Metazoa; Chordata; Testudines; Trionychidae.
UUACAGGGAUGUUCCUGUCUGGCUACAGAAUCCAGAACUGGAAUGUGGAGUGAGGACAUGGGAAGACACCAGCCAGAGGCGUGCAUUAUGCUGAGGUAGAUGGAGCUAGUCUGGUUCGCAUGGAGCAGCGAUGUGAGCAUUUAAAGCCAAACCAAACCAACACACACUAUUUCAAAAAGAGGUCAGCUCAUCACUAUUAAAAGCUUUUUCAGCAAACAUCAAAGCAUCUUUUGAAAAUUACAGGAAACACAUGUUCUUCCCAUCUCAGAGGCAGCCUUUCAUUGGGAGAAGGUCUUCACUGCAGAGUAAGCCCAGGCCUGGGCUAGUUUAGCACAGGGGUGCUUCCCCACAGCAAAGCACUACUCAUGCAACUAUGUCCACAGUGGUGCUGUACUAGAUGGUGUGCUGGGAUUGAUCUGCUGUACUAGAUGGUGUGCCAGGAUGGGGUAAGCGAUCCCAUGAUUCUGAGCAAUGUGCUAAACUGUGCAGCUGUAUGAAUUCAUUUGCAAUAUUCUCUCUCUCUCUCCCUUUCACCUGACAUGGAGAAGCUG